Molecule: ribosomal RNA, 497 nt
Filed under: uncultured bacterium
Lineage: Bacteria
Description: partial 16S ribosomal RNA
Rfam family: Bacterial small subunit ribosomal RNA
Source: RNAcentral
GACGAACGCUGGCGGCGUGCCUAAUACAUGCAAGUUGAGCGCCGAAGGAUGGUACUUGUACCAACUGGAUGAGCAGCUAACGGGUGAGUAACGCGUGGGGAAUCAUCCACUUAUCGGGGGACAACAUUUGGAAACGAAUUCUAAUACUGCAUAAAAACUCUAAACACAAGAUUUAAGUUUGAAACAUACAAUUGCAUCACUCAUAGAUGAUCCCGCGUUGUAUUAGGUAGUUGGGUAGGUAAAGGCUCACCAAGGCGUACAUACAUAGCCGACCUGAAAGGGUGAUCGGCCCAAAUGGGACUGAGACCACGCCCCAGCUCCUUAGGGAGGCAGCAGUAGGGGAUUUUUGGCAAUGGGCGGAAGUCUGACCGAACAAAGCCGGGUGGGUUAAGGAGGGUUUCGGAUUGUAAAACUCUUUUGGUAGAGAAAGACAUUGGUGAGAGUGGAAAGCUCAUCAAGUGACGGUAACUACACAGAAAGCGACGGCUAACUACGUG